AACUACGUGCCAGCAGCCGCGGUAAUACGUAGGUGGCAAGCGUUGUCCGGAAUUAUUGGGCGUAAAGCGCGCGCAGGCGGUUUCUUAAGUCUGAUGUGAAAGCCCCCGGCUCAACCGGGGAGGGUCAUUGGAAACUGGGGAACUUGAGUGCAGAAGAGGAGAGUGGAAUUCCACGUGUAGCGGUGAAAUGCGUAGAGAUGUGGAGGAACACCAGUGGCGAAGGCGACUCUCUGGUCUGUAACUGACGCUGAGGCGCGAAAGCGUGGGGAGCGAACAGGAUUAGAUACCCUGGUAGUCCACGCCGUAAACGAUGAGUGCUAAGUGUUAGAGGGUUUCCGCCCUUUAGUGCUGCAGCAAACGCAUUAAGCACUCCGCCUGGGGAGUACGGUCGCAAGACUGAAACUCAAAGGAAUUGACGGGGGCCCGCACAAGCGGUGGAGCAUGUGGUUUAAUUCGAAGCAACGCGAAGAACCUUACCAGGUCUUGACAUCCUCUGACACCCUAAGAUAGGGCUUCCCCUUCGGGGGCAGAGUGACAGGUGGUGCAUGGUUGUCGUCAGCUCGUGUCGUGAGAU
This 574-nucleotide ribosomal RNA is filed under the name Bacillus licheniformis. Its description in RNAcentral is "bacterial SSU rRNA". It matches the Rfam family "Bacterial small subunit ribosomal RNA", at positions 499 to 1073 of the family's 1533-position model. Lineage: Bacteria; Bacillati; Bacillota; Bacilli; Caryophanales; Bacillaceae. The record is from RNAcentral.